Molecule: ribosomal RNA, 340 nt
Filed under: uncultured eukaryote
Lineage: Eukaryota
Description: SSU rRNA
Rfam family: Eukaryotic small subunit ribosomal RNA
Source: RNAcentral
AGUCAUAUGCUUGUCUCAAAGAUUAAGCCAUGCAUGUCUAAGUAUAAGCAAUCUAUACAGUGAAACUGCGAAUGGCUCAUUAAAUCAGUUAUCGUUUAUUUGAUAGUACCUUACUACUUGGAUAACCGUGGUAAUUCUAGAGCUAAUACAUGCUAAAAACCCCGACUUCGGAAGGGGUGUAUUUAUUAGAUAAAAAACCAAUGCUCUUCGGGGCUCCUUGGUGAUUCAUAAUAACUUAACGAAUCGCAUGGCCUUGUGCCGGCGAUGGUUCAUUCAAAUUUCUGCCCUAUCAACUUUCGAUGGUAGGAUAGUGGCCUACCAUGGUUUCAACGGGUAACGG